GACGAACGCUGGCGGCGUGCCUAAUACAUGCAAGUCGAACGCAUUUUCUUUCACCGUAGCUUGCUACACCGAAAGAAAAUGAGUGGCGAACGGGUGAGUAACACGUGGGUAACCUGCCCAUCAGCGGGGGAUAACACUUGGAAACAGGUGCUAAUACCGCAUAAUUCCAUUUACCGCAUGGUAGAUGGGUGAAAGGCGCUUUUGCGUCACUGAUGGAUGGACCUGCGGUGCAUUAGCUAGUUGGUGGGGUAACGGCCUACCAAGGCUGCGAUGCAUAGCCGACCUGGGAGGGGGGUCGGCCACACUGGGACUGAGACACGGCCCAGACUCCUACGGGAGGCAGCAGUAGGGAAUCUUCGGCAAUGGACGCAAGUCUGACCGAGCAACGCCGCGUGAGUGAAGAAGGUUUUCGGAUCGUAAAACUCUGUUGUUAGAGAAGAACAAGGAUGAGAGUGGAAAGUUCAUCCCUUGACGGUAUCUAACCAGAAAGCCACGGCUAACUACGUG
RNAcentral lists this ribosomal RNA (507 nucleotides) under uncultured bacterium. Its description in RNAcentral is "partial 16S ribosomal RNA". It matches the Rfam family "Bacterial small subunit ribosomal RNA", at positions 28 to 507 of the family's 1533-position model. The record is from RNAcentral.